GGGCCCGCACAAGCGGUGGAGCAUGUGGUUUAAUUCGACGCAACGCGAAGAACCUUACCCAGGCUUGACAUGCAUCGGACGGGUGUGGAAACACACCUUCCCUUCGGGGCCGAUGCACAGGUGCUGCAUGGCUGUCGUCAGCUCGUGUCGUGAGAUGUUGGGUUAAGUCCCGCAACGAGCGCAACCCUUGUCCUUAGUUGCUAACGGGUCAAGCCGAGCACUCUAAGGAGACUGCCGGUGAUAAACCGGAGGAAGGUGGGGAUGACGUCAAGUCCUCAUGGCCCUUACGCCUGGGGCUACACACGUGCUACAAUGGCCGAUACAGAGGGUUCCGAGACCGCGAGGUGGAGGCAAUCCCAAAAAAUCGGUCUCAGUUCGGAUCGCAGUCUGCAACUCGACUGCGUGAAGUCGGAAUCGCUAGUAAUCGCUGAUCAGCAGGCAGCGGUGAAUACGUUCCCGGGCCUU
This 465-nucleotide ribosomal RNA is filed under the name uncultured bacterium. Its description in RNAcentral is "bacterial SSU rRNA". It matches the Rfam family "Bacterial small subunit ribosomal RNA", at positions 917 to 1382 of the family's 1533-position model. The record is from RNAcentral.